RNAcentral lists this ribosomal RNA (253 nucleotides) under uncultured bacterium. RNAcentral describes it as "partial 16S ribosomal RNA". It matches the Rfam family "Bacterial small subunit ribosomal RNA", at positions 524 to 776 of the family's 1533-position model. The record is from RNAcentral.
UACAGAGGAGCCAAGCGUUGUCCGGAUUGACUGGGCGUAAAGCGCACGCAGGCGGAUGCGCGCGUGGGGUGUGAAAUCUGGCCGCUUAACGGCCAGGCGCCAUCCCAUACGGCGCGUCUGGAGUGAUGCAGAGGUCGGUGGAAUUGCCGGUGUAGUGGUGAAAUGCGUAGAGAUCGGGAAGAACAUCGGUGGCGAAAGCGCUCUACUGGACGGUGACUGACACUCAGGGACGAAAGCUAGGGGAGCGAAUGGG